CUACGUAGGGGGCGAGCGUUAUCCGGAAUUACUGGGCGUAAAGGGUGCGUAGGCGGCCUUUUAAGUCAGAUGUGAAAGGCUACGGCUUAACCGUAGUUAGCAUUUGAAACUAAAAGGCUUGAGUGCAGGAGAGGAGAGUGGAAUUCCUAGUGUAGCGGUGAAAUGCGUAGAUAUUAGGAGGAACACCAGUGGCGAAGGCGACUCUCUGGGCUGCAACUGACGCUGAGGCACGAAAGCGUGGGGAGCGAACAGGAUUAGAUACCCUGGUAGGCCACGCCGUAAACGAUGAGUGCUAGGUGUUGGUGGGGACACCCAUCAGUGCCGCAGCUAACGCAUUAAGCACUCCGCCUGGGGAGUACGGUCGCAAGACUGAA
Molecule: ribosomal RNA, 374 nt
Filed under: uncultured bacterium
Lineage: Bacteria
Description: bacterial SSU rRNA
Rfam family: Bacterial small subunit ribosomal RNA
Source: RNAcentral